This 226-nucleotide long non-coding RNA is filed under the name Mytilus galloprovincialis (Mediterranean mussel). Lineage: Eukaryota; Metazoa; Mollusca; Bivalvia; Mytilida; Mytilidae. The record is from RNAcentral.
GUUUCCUAUGAUACGAAAAUAGCAAGCGUCAGUAUUAUUAUACAAUACAUACAUAAAAGAUAAACUUAACAAUAGUAGAGGAUAUCUUUACUUCCUGUCCUAUUUGAACAGUGAUGUCAUAUAGCAAGAAGUAUUGUGUUAAAAAUACACAAAACGCAUGCACACAUUGAGAAUGAAUAAAAGGAUUAUUAAUAAAUAGAUCUUAUCAAAAUUAUUACAAAACAUG